GACGAACGCUGGCGGCGUGCUUAACACAUGCAAGUCGAACGGAAAGACCUGCUUUCCCUUGUGGAUUGCGGGUACUCGAGUGGCGAACGGGUGAGUAACACGUGAGUGAUCUGCCCCCAACUUGGGUAUAAGCCUGGGAAACUGGGUCUAAUUCCCGAUAGGACUGCAGGGUGGUGCCUGUGGUGGAAAACGAUUUUCUAGUGGUUGGGGAUGAGCUCGCGGCCUAUCAGCUUGUUGGUGGGGUAAUGGCCUACCAAGGCGGCGACGGGUAGCCGGCCUGAGAGGGUGGACGGCCACAUUGGGACUGAGAUACGGCCCAGACUCCUACGGGAGGCAGCAGUGGGGAAUAUUGCACAAUGGGCGGAAGCCUGAUGCAGCGACGCCGCGUGGGGGAUGACGGCCUUCGGGUUGUAAACUCCUUUCGACCGCGAGGAAGCCACCUGGUUGGAAGGGUGGUGACGGUAGUGGUAGAAGAAGCACCGGCUAACUACGUG
Molecule: ribosomal RNA, 494 nt
Filed under: uncultured bacterium
Lineage: Bacteria
Description: partial 16S ribosomal RNA
Rfam family: Bacterial small subunit ribosomal RNA
Source: RNAcentral